Molecule: small nucleolar RNA, 83 nt
Organism: Cephalotus follicularis
Lineage: Eukaryota; Viridiplantae; Streptophyta; Magnoliopsida; Oxalidales; Cephalotaceae
Rfam family: small nucleolar RNA snoR128
Source: Rfam
UUGCUAUGAUGAACCCUAGGAAGCUUGGAAAGUUAUAAUAUAUCUGCUUUAUGAUUUUUAAUCCUGAGAGGUUACCUGAGUAA